RNAcentral lists this long non-coding RNA (501 nucleotides) under Trifolium pratense (red clover). RNAcentral's name for it is "long non-coding RNA (TPRA_LNC004101)". The record is from RNAcentral. Lineage: Eukaryota; Viridiplantae; Streptophyta; Magnoliopsida; Fabales; Fabaceae.
GGAGUGAGAGAGAUGAAACUGUGGGAUGAUGAGAAAGAGGGAGAGCGUACGAGAGAGAGAGAGAGGGGGAAGAGAGAGAAAACAAUUUCAUAAAUGAAAAAAAUUUUGGGAAAGUAAUCAUAAAACCACAAUUGUUUCCAUAAACCACUUCUGUCAAUGGUUUGCAUAAACCAGCAAUCACAAAACCAGCAAUUAUAGGAGGGUCCACAUGAGUCAUGCAAAAAAUUAUAAUAAGCCAUGUGUAAGAUGUGUAAGAUGAAGCAUAGGAAUAUCAUGCCAUGUGCAAGAAGGUGUAGAUGUGAACAUUGAACCCUAAAUUGAACCCUAAAAUGAAAUGAAACCCUAAAUGGCAUGGCAAGAUGUGGUUGGUCAGAAGAAACAAAUGUAAAAGAUUGAUUGGACAAGGAUUUAGGGUUUGCAUUUGGUGCUUGAAAAACCACUCAUCCUUUAGUAUAUAAAGAUAUACGAGAGGUGUGUGUCAUUUAAGCAAAUUUGAAGGGA